UGGGGAAUAUUGCACAAUGGGCGAAAGCCUGAUGCAGCGACGCCGCGUGAGGGAUGACGGCCUUCGGGUUGUAAACCUCUUUCAGUAGGGACGAAGCGCAAGUGACGGUACCUGCAGAAGAAGCACCGGCUAACUACGUGCCAGCAGCCGCGGUAAUACGUAGGGUGCGAGCGUUGUCCGGAAUUACUGGGCGUAAAGAGCUCGUAGGCGGUUUGUCACGUCGUCUGUGAAAUCCUAGGGCUUAACCCUGGACGUGCAGGCGAUACGGGCUGACUUGAGUACUACAGGGGAGACUGGAAUUUCUGGUGUAGCGGUGGAAUGCACAGAUAUCAGGAAGAACCCCGAUGGCGAAGGCAGGUCUCUGGGUAGUAACUGACGCUGAGGAGCGAAAGCAUGGGUAGCGAACAGG
RNAcentral lists this ribosomal RNA (409 nucleotides) under bacterium. RNAcentral describes it as "partial 16S ribosomal RNA". It matches the Rfam family "Bacterial small subunit ribosomal RNA", at positions 355 to 776 of the family's 1533-position model. The record is from RNAcentral.